GAUGAACGCUGGCGGCGUGCUUAACACAUGCAAGUCGAACGGACAGACCAUGCUUUUGUGGGGUGCUCGAUUGGCGAACGGGUGAGUAACACGUGUGUAUCCUGUCCUUGUCUUUGGGAUAUAUUCAGGAAACUGGGGCUAAUACCGGAUAGGAGCUCCUGCUGCAUGGUGGGGGUUGGUAAGUUUCGGCGGUUGGGGAUGGACUCGAGGCUUAUCAGCUUGUUGGUGUGGUAGUGGCUUACAAAGGCUUUGACGGGUAGCCGGCCUGAGAGGGUGAACGGCCACAUUGGUACUGAGAUACGGCCCAGACUCCUACGGGAGGCAGCAGUGGGGAAUAUUGCACAAUGGGCGGAAGCCUGAUGCAGCAGCGCCGCGUGCGGGAUGACGGCCUUCGGGGUAUAAACCGCUUUCGCCUGUGACGAAGCGUUAGUGACGGUAAUGGGUAAAGAAGCACCGGCUAACUACGUG
RNAcentral lists this ribosomal RNA (468 nucleotides) under uncultured bacterium. RNAcentral's name for it is "partial 16S ribosomal RNA". It matches the Rfam family "Bacterial small subunit ribosomal RNA", at positions 28 to 507 of the family's 1533-position model. The record is from RNAcentral.